This 501-nucleotide ribosomal RNA is filed under the name Pachydactylus labialis. Its description in RNAcentral is "partial 16S ribosomal RNA". It matches the Rfam family "Bacterial large subunit ribosomal RNA", at positions 1922 to 2598 of the family's 2925-position model. The record is from RNAcentral. Lineage: Eukaryota; Metazoa; Chordata; Lepidosauria; Squamata; Gekkonidae.
AUUUAACGGCCGCGGUAUCAUAACCGUGCAAAGGUAGCGUAAUCACUUGUCUUCUAAAUAAAGACUUGUAUGAACGGCCAAAUGAGGGCUCAACUGUCUCCUAUAGCCAAUCAAUGAAACUGAUCUUUCAGUACAAAAGCUGAGAUAAAACCACAAGACGAAAAGACCCUGUGGAGCUUUAAGCUACCACUACCCAAACAACCCCCACACAGAAAUAGUAACAUACUACUAGUCUUAAGCUUUAAGUUGGGGCGACUACGGAGACAAAUAGAACCUCCAUGAAUAUAGGCUCACACCCUACUAUACGGCCUACAGGCCUACCAGCAACACGCAUACGACCCAGUAACACUGAGAAUCGGACUAAGUUACCCCAGGGCUAACAGCGCCAUCCCCCUUAAGAGUUCCUAUCGCCAGGGGGGCUUACGACCUCGAUGUUGGAUCAGGACACCCCGGUGGUGCAGCAGCUACCAAAGGUUCGUUUGUUCAACGAUCAAUGUCCUA